RNAcentral lists this ribosomal RNA (488 nucleotides) under uncultured bacterium. Its description in RNAcentral is "partial 16S ribosomal RNA". It matches the Rfam family "Bacterial small subunit ribosomal RNA", at positions 29 to 507 of the family's 1533-position model. The record is from RNAcentral.
AGUGAACGCUGGCGGUAGGCCUAACACAUGCAAGUCGAACGGCAGCACAGUAAGAGCUUGCUCUUACGGGUGGCGAGUGGCGGACGGGUGAGGAAUACAUCGGAAUCUACUUUUUCGUGGGGGAUAACGUAGGGAAACUUACGCUAAUACCGCAUACGACCUACGGGUGAAAGCAGGGGAUCUUCGGCCUUGCGCGAUUGAAUGAGCCGAUGUCGGAUUAGCUAGUUGGCGGGGUAAAGGCCCACCAAGGCGACGAUCCGUAGCUGGUCUGAGAGGAUGAUCAGCCACACUGGAACUGAGACACGGUCCAGACUCCUAAGGGAGGCAGCAGUGGGGAAUAUUGGACAAUGGGCGCAAGCCUGAUCCAGCCAUACCGCGUGGGUGAAGGCCUUCGGGUUGUAAAGCCCUUUUGUUGGGAAAGAAAAGCAGCAGGUUAAUACCCCGCUGUUCUGACGGUACCCAAAGAAUAAGCACCGGCUAACUUCGUG